Molecule: long non-coding RNA, 331 nt
Filed under: Bos taurus (domestic cattle)
Lineage: Eukaryota; Metazoa; Chordata; Mammalia; Artiodactyla; Bovidae
Description: long non-coding RNA NONBTAT010699
Source: RNAcentral
CCUUAACUGAGAAUAAUAUGUAAUUUCUACCCCACAUGUUUCGUGGAAAAAUAGUAAAGACUUUGGAAAGCAAAAGUCUAUUCAUGGAGUUGUAAUAAUAAUACCAUAUUUGCAUUCACUGGAAAUCAUGGUCACUACUGUCUAAGUAUAUGUUCUGACAGACUUUCAAAGCUUCUCCUCUGAAGAAAAAAAUAAUUAACAGAAAUCACAAAAUCUUUCCUAUUCAAUCAUAGUAUGCUGUCUCUUUAAUAAGAAGGAAGAAAAAGGCACAGGAAUAAAUGUUAGUAUAAUUCACCAUCACCACCAGAAAAUAAUUAUUUACCUUGGCCAU